GGGGAUAUGGCGAAAUCGGUAGACGCUACGGACUUAAAAUCCGUCGACUUUAUA
This 54-nucleotide transfer RNA is filed under the name Psathyrostachys juncea. RNAcentral's name for it is "partial tRNA-Leu". The record is from RNAcentral. Lineage: Eukaryota; Viridiplantae; Streptophyta; Magnoliopsida; Poales; Poaceae.